Molecule: unclassified non-coding RNA, 203 nt
Filed under: Hevea brasiliensis (rubber tree)
Lineage: Eukaryota; Viridiplantae; Streptophyta; Magnoliopsida; Malpighiales; Euphorbiaceae
Source: RNAcentral
CUUUUUCAUUUUCCAAAUAAAGCCAUCGAGAACAUAAGAGGAUAUGACAAGUAUAGAUCAAAUUAUAAGAAGCCAAAAAUUUGUAAAACGUAUCAGCCACAUGCAAUAAAACACUAACACCUCUAUGACUAUCAGUAUGAAGAUGUCAGUAUUAAUAGAAAGUUGCCAAAUAAUUCUGCAAGUCAAAUGAAUGUGCAGUGAAG